AUUGAACGCUGGCGGUAUGCUUAACACAUGCAAGUCGAACGAUGAGAAAGAGCUUGCUCUUUCGAUUAGUGGCGGACGGGUGCGUAACGCGUAGGAAUCUACCUAUUAGUGGGGGACAACUUAGGGAAACUUAAGCUAAUACCGCAUACGCCCUACGGGGGAAAGAAGGGGAUCGCAAGACCUUUUGCUAAUAGAUGAGCCUGCGUAGGAUUAGCUAGUUGGUGGGGUAAAAGCUCACCAAGGCGACGAUCCUUAACUGGUUUGAGAGAAUGAUCAGUCACACUGGAACUGAGACACGGUCCAGACUCCUACGGGGGGCAGCAGUGGGGAAUAUUGGACAAUGGGCGAAAGCCUGAUCCAGCAAUACCGCGUGUGUGAAGAAGGCCUUAGGGUUGUAAAGCACUUUCAAUUGGAAGGAAAACCUCGAAGCUAAUACCUUCGAGUUUGACAUUACCUUUAGAAGAAGCACCGGCUAACUCCGUGCCAGCAGCCGCAGUAA
RNAcentral lists this ribosomal RNA (499 nucleotides) under uncultured bacterium. RNAcentral describes it as "partial 16S ribosomal RNA". It matches the Rfam family "Bacterial small subunit ribosomal RNA", at positions 30 to 523 of the family's 1533-position model. The record is from RNAcentral.